UACAGAGGGGGCAAGCGUUAUUCGGAAUUAUUGGGCGUAAAGGGCGCGUAGGCGGCUUGGCAAGUGGAUGGUGAAAUCCCUCGGCUUAACCGGGGAACUGCAUCCGAUACUGGAUGGCUUGAGUUCGGGAGAGGGAUGCGGAAUUCCAGGUGUAGCGGUGAAAUGCGUAGAUAUCUGGAGGAACACCGGUGGCGAAGGCGGCAUCCUGGACCGACACUGACGCUGAGACGCGAAAGCGUGGGGAGCGAACAGG
RNAcentral lists this ribosomal RNA (253 nucleotides) under uncultured bacterium. Its description in RNAcentral is "partial 16S ribosomal RNA". It matches the Rfam family "Bacterial small subunit ribosomal RNA", at positions 524 to 776 of the family's 1533-position model. The record is from RNAcentral.